Molecule: ribosomal RNA, 468 nt
Filed under: uncultured bacterium
Lineage: Bacteria
Description: partial 16S ribosomal RNA
Rfam family: Bacterial small subunit ribosomal RNA
Source: RNAcentral
GACGAACGCUGGCGGCGUGCUUAACACAUGCAAGUCGAACGGAAAGGCCCUGCUUUUGUGGGGUGCUCGAGGGGCGAACGGGUGUGUAACACGUGAGUAACCUGCCCUGGACUUUGGUAUAACUUCAGGCAACUGGGGCUAAUACCGGAUAGGAGCUCCUGCUGCAUGGUGGGGGUUGGAAAGUUUCGGCGGUUGGGGAUGGACUCGCGGCUUAUCAGCUUGUUGGUGGGGUAGUGGCUUACCAAGGCUUUGACGGGUAGCCGGCCUGAGAGGGUGACCGGCCACAUUGGGACUGAGAUACGGCCCAGACUCCUACGGGAGGCAGCAGUGGGGAAUAUUGCACAAUGGGCGGAAGCCUGAUGCAGCAACGCCGCGUGCGGGAUGACGGCCUUCGGGUUGUAAACCGCUUUCGCCUGUGACGAAGCGUGAGUGACGGUAAUGGGUAAAGAAGCACCGGCUAACUACGUG